This 200-nucleotide ribosomal RNA is filed under the name uncultured bacterium. Its description in RNAcentral is "partial 16S ribosomal RNA". It matches the Rfam family "Bacterial small subunit ribosomal RNA", at positions 30 to 224 of the family's 1533-position model. The record is from RNAcentral.
AUUGAACGCUGGCGGCAUGCCUAACACAUGCAAGUCGAACGGCAGCACGGUCUAGUUUACUAGAUGGGUGGCGAGUGGCGGACGGGUGAGUAAUGCGCAGGAAUAUGCCUUGAAGAGGGGGAUAACUUGGGGAAACUCAAGCUAAUACCGCAUAAUCUCUGAGGAGAGAAGCUGGGGACCUUCGGGCCUGGCGCUUUAAG